RNAcentral lists this ribosomal RNA (515 nucleotides) under uncultured bacterium. RNAcentral describes it as "partial 16S ribosomal RNA". It matches the Rfam family "Bacterial small subunit ribosomal RNA", at positions 28 to 523 of the family's 1533-position model. The record is from RNAcentral.
GAUGAACGCUGGCGGCGUGCCUAAUACAUGCAAGUCGAGCGAAUGGAUUAAGAGCUUGCUCUUAUGAAGUUAGCGGCGGACGGGUGAGUAACACGUGGGUAACCUGCCCAUAAGACUGGGAUAACUCCGGGAAACCGGGGCUAAUACCGGAUAACAUUUUGAACCGCAUGGUUCGAAAUUGAAAGGCGGCUUCGGCUGUCACUUAUGGAUGGACCCGCGUCGCAUUAGCUAGUUGGUGAGGUAACGGCUCACCAAGGCAACGAUGCGUAGCCGACCUGGGAGGGUGAUCGGCCACACUGGGACGGAGACACGGCCCAGACUCCUACGGGAGGCAGCGGUAGGGAAUCUUCCGCAAUGGACGAAAGUCUGACGGAGCAACGCCGCGUGAGUGAUGAAGGCUUUCGGGUCGUAAAACUCUGUUGUUAGGGAAGAACAAGUGCUAGUUGAAUAAGCUGGCACCUUGACGGUACCUAACCAGAAAGCUACGGCUAACUACGUGCCAGCAGCCGCCGUAA